This 454-nucleotide ribosomal RNA is filed under the name Linycus exhortator. RNAcentral's name for it is "partial 28S ribosomal RNA". The record is from RNAcentral. Lineage: Eukaryota; Metazoa; Arthropoda; Insecta; Hymenoptera; Ichneumonidae.
CCUGAGAAACCCGAAAGAUCGAAUGGGGAGAUUCAUCGUCAGCGAUUCUGGUACGUGUGCGGUUCGCGAUGUCGGAGGCUUCGGUCUYGCGGCACGCGUCCGUAUGUUUUUUAUUGCUGGAAUCGUCGGCGUGCACUUCUCCCCUAGUAGGACGUCGCGACCCGUUGGGUGUCGGUCUACGGCACGGUAGGUAGCCUGUCACGUGUGCGCUUCACGGCGUUACGCGGGGCAGACCUCCGUUCGCCCGACCGGCUGCUCGGCGGUACUCGCAAGAUAUCUGGCCGCAGACAUACGAACUGCGUCCGGCCCGUCGCAAGCGCGGCAAGUGUUUCUCGGCUGUACGGAUCUAAUGCCGUCACCGAGCCUUGCCAGCUGUUGGUUGACGGUGUCCUAGGACUGGCUAAUAAAAUUAUGAUAUCGGUCGGCGACGCUAUUGCUUUGGGUACUUUCAGGA